GUGAGGAUGGCUCAGUGGGUAAGAGCACCCGACUGCUCUUCCGAAGGUCCGAAGUUCAAAUCCCAGCAACCACA
This 74-nucleotide transfer RNA is filed under the name Mus musculus (house mouse). Its description in RNAcentral is "tRNA-Ser". The record is from RNAcentral. Lineage: Eukaryota; Metazoa; Chordata; Mammalia; Rodentia; Muridae.